Parasteatoda tepidariorum (common house spider) is the source of this 2494-nucleotide non-coding RNA. Lineage: Eukaryota; Metazoa; Arthropoda; Arachnida; Araneae; Theridiidae. The record is from RefSeq and is a predicted model, not a curated record.
UUUUAUAUUCUAAUAUUUGCUACACUAACAAUACUCAAAACAUUGUAAUUCUUAAAUACAACUUAUUUCAUUAUGUCAUUAAAAAGUUAAUCAUGAAGUCUGCAAAAACCGUAUAUUAAAAUAUAAAAGAUAAACACUUACUCGACUAUUAACAGUUAUUUGAUAACUGUCUCGUUAUCCAUUAAUCUAUGUUUCUUUUCUUCACUUUUCGGAAACAUAAAAACUGAUACUUUAGGCGCUAUUUCUAGUUCCCUUUACAUUUUGGAACUACACAUGCAUAUGGCAUUGUUGAAAGUUGUAAAAUAAUGCUAUAUGUAUUUUUGAUAGUGGUUUGUAACGACAUAUCCGACAAGCAAACGGGACUGCUGUUGACAAAUAUUUGAAAUUGGCGGCUAAUCGCUUAUCAGCUAUACACCACUGUUUGUGACGUCAUUAAAAGACCUUGGUGAUCUCAACACCCUUAUUUUUUGGUGGCUAUGGUCAUAUAUGCUGAAAUGCACAGAGUACUUAGUGAUUGCUUCUGACAAGCUGAAGACCAUGCUGCUUAGUGUGAAUGCAAUUUACAUAUUAUUUCUUCUUCAUCUCUUUUGUAUAUUGUUUCAUUUCUUAAAAGGAACUGAUUCUGUUCAUUCCAGUUUUAACAAUUCAGUCCCUAGGUACAACACAAUAAAAUUAAAAAAAUAUGGCAUGUAAAAGUGUUUACAGUUAGUUGUUCAGAUUAACUUAUCAUACCAUUAAGUAGAAUACAAUUAAAAGUUCGAUACAUCAUCUUAAUUUUUAAUACUAGUCAAUUAGGAAAGAAUAGAAAUUAAAAAAAUAAUAAUUUACUUUUCAAUAAAAAUUUUCCUCUUAUUUUCUAGCUCCCACAAAUCUCACUAUAAUGCUAGAUACUAUAUGCUAACUGUUAGUGGCUAAGGAAAGGACUAUGUCAGGUUAUUUUUGUUAGUCGCUAGUUGAUGGUCGAGCUAUGCUGUUUGUGCCAUAGUACAAUGCUCUCCCCUAUAUUUUGAAAACUGGAAGCAUGUUAAGUUUAAUAGAACAGAUCUUCAAUUUCUCGUGCUACCCUUCAAAUUUUUAAUCAAAGGGUUCUGAAAUAGCUGAUGAGCUCUUCAAACAUUUUUCAUAUGUUUUGAUACAUCAAAUUUCUUCUAUGAAAAUUUUCAUUUUGUUCUAACUCUCUUGUCUAAUAUUCAGAAGAACUUAAUUUGUUAAAGACUUUAAUUUUUCUUAUGUAAAAUAAUGUAUAUAAAUGUUUUGUAUCAAUCAUUCAAUUUUUUUAGUGCUUCAGAUGUAGAAUCAGAAAAGGUUGUUCAAGAAGCUUUAGAUUAUGCUGUUAAAGGUCAUACUGUGCUAGUGAUAGCUCAUUGUUUGAGUACAAUCCAAAAUAUAGAUUUCAUUGCUGUAGUAAAAAGAGGCCAAAUAGUUGAGAUUGGAAAUCAUAGUAGUUUGUCAAAAAAAAGGUCUUUAUUGGAAUUUGGUGAAGCAACAAUAUAAAGAAGAAGUGUGAUUUAAAUCAAAGUUUUUAUGAUCGCUCCACAAGACUUACGCAUUUUCGCUAGCAUUGACUGGUCGACGGGAUAAUCCCUACGCAAAAGGCCUCGAAGCUUUUGAAACAAUGAAGAACUUUCUGCAUUCACAUGAAAGUGAAUCUAUUUAAAAUCUUGUAAAAAUAAUUGCUUGUGUUGAGAGUGUUUGAACAGCUAAGAUUUUCGAAUUAUUUAACUAUCUAAAUGAAUGCUUUUAUUCAUCUUUCUAUUGUUUAUAUGUUGUAUUGCAAAUGUUUUUACAGUAAAUACAUAAAUUUUUUAAUUGAAUUUUUUUUCUUAUUGUAAAUUUAUUAAUUUGUUUUCAAAUUCAUUACUUGAAAUUUUAUGUUGACCCUCCUUUGUUGUUUUCUCCUAUUUUUUCAUUCACAAUGAAAACUACAACAAUCAAGAUCAAGGGUCAACUAUAAUUACUAUUAGUUAGAAUGCACUCUUGAUAUCAGAUUUGUAACUGCCAAAAAAUAUUGGUGAAAUUAUUUUUUCAUAUUGCUGGAAACACUUUUUAUACUUCAAUUUUCCUCUAGAGAUUUUAAAUCACUUAAAAAUAUUUUUUACUUUAAUGCAUAUCUCCAUUUUGAAGUAACAUGCCUUCUCACUUAGACUGUUCACUUCCAUUUAACUGUCAUGACUUAGACGCUAGUUGCCAUAACUCUCGUUAUGUCUGAAUGAAUGCUAUGUUCUACCUAUCCAGCACAGUUAUUUAUUUUUUGGGGCUAUUCAUGAAAUUUUUUGAGCACAUUUUGUAAACCAGGUCAGUUUGGUCAGUAAAGAACCCAUUGAAAUUUAAAACACUUUGAUAUUUUGUCAAAAAGGUUGCAUUUCUUGUAUGAUAUGAUUAAAAAUCUGGUUUAUUUAUAAUCAAACUAUUGAUGUUGUGCUGUUGAUUUUUUUUUUAAUAUAUAUUUAAAGAGCUGUUUUAAAAAUUUGUUUAAAUAUUUUAAUUACCAAUG